RNAcentral lists this ribosomal RNA (363 nucleotides) under uncultured Hydrogenophaga sp. RNAcentral describes it as "bacterial SSU rRNA". It matches the Rfam family "Bacterial small subunit ribosomal RNA", at positions 1 to 375 of the family's 1533-position model. Lineage: Bacteria; Pseudomonadati; Pseudomonadota; Betaproteobacteria; Burkholderiales; Comamonadaceae. The record is from RNAcentral.
GAUCGAGUUUGAUCCUGGCUCAGAUUGAACGCUGGCGGCAUGCUUUACACAUGCAAGUCGAACGGUAACAGGUUAAGCUGACGAGUGGCGAACGGGUGAGUAAUGCAUCGGAACGUGCCCGAUCGGUGGGGAUAACGCAGCGAAAGCUGCGCUAAUACCGCAUACGAUCUGAGGAUGAAAGCGGGGGACCGUAAGGCCUCGCGCGAUCGGAGCGGCCGAUGUCUGAUUAGCUUGUUGGUGAGGUAAAAGCUCACCAAGGCGAUGAUCAGUAGCUGGUCUGAGAGCAUGAUCAGCCACACGGGCACUGAGACACGGGCCCGACUCCUACGGGGAGCAGCGAGUGGGGGAAUAUUGCACAAUGGA